RNAcentral lists this ribosomal RNA (219 nucleotides) under uncultured bacterium. RNAcentral's name for it is "partial 16S ribosomal RNA". It matches the Rfam family "Bacterial small subunit ribosomal RNA", at positions 97 to 334 of the family's 1533-position model. The record is from RNAcentral.
GGCGGACGGGCGAGUAACGCGUGAGAACAUGCCCUUAGGUUCGGGACAACAGUUGGAAACGGCUGCUAAUACCGAAUGUGCCGAGAGGUGAAAGAUUAAUUGCCUAGGGAUUGGCUCGCGUCAGAUUAGCUAGUUGGUGAAGUAAUGGUUUACCAAGGCGACGAUCUGUAACUGGUCUGAGAGGAUGACCAGUCACACUGGGACUGAGACACGGCCCAG